Long non-coding RNA from Carcharodon carcharias (great white shark), 2006 nucleotides. RefSeq lists it as uncharacterized. The transcript is spliced from 3 exons. The record is from RefSeq and is a predicted model, not a curated record. NCBI's taxonomy places the organism in Eukaryota, Metazoa, Chordata, Chondrichthyes, Lamniformes, Lamnidae.
UUUAUUUCAUUACAGGGGCUCUUCGCGCAAGCGCACUGCUCGGUUACGGAGCUGCAAGGAAAGAAGAAGUGAUCGAGUGCAGUAGUGUAAUGGAGCCGGAGGCUGGGGUACUGGAAUCUGAAUCCUUCAGAUUGACAAACAGGAAACUCAAACCAAACAUCACAUUGAGAUCUGACAAAGGCACUCACGUCAUCAGAACCUGAAUAUCAGCAGCAUCUGAAUGUGGAAGGGUAUUAGAAGGGGAGGAUUUGCAGUCGGGAAACUGAAACCAAACAUCACAUCAGAAUCUGAUGGAGUCUCUCAAUUUAUCAGGAUGGGAAUGUCAUCGCCUUGGAACAUGGAAGGAAAAAGCACCGUUCACGCUGGUGAGAAACCCGAUAAAUGUGGGACUGUGGGAAGGGGUUCAAUUACUCGUCUCAGUUGGAAACACAUUGGCGCAGUCACAUUGGGGAGAUGCCUUUUACCUGCUCUGAGUGUUGGAGGGGAUUCAGUCAGUCAUCCAACCUGCUGCAACACCAACGAGUUCACACUCUGGAGAGGCCCUUCAGGUGCUCUCACUGCAGGACUGGCUUCAGGCGAUCGGAUGACCUCAUCACACACCAGCGAGAGGUUGUUCACCUGCUCCAUGUGUGGGCAGGGAUUCAAUCAUUUUUCUGUCCUGUGGACACACUGAGUUCACACUGACGAGGGAGUUUAAAUGCUGUAGCUGUGAAAAGAGCUUUAAAAGCCCACUUUCACUGAUGGAACACCAGCGCAUUCACACCGGUUCCACGCCAUUCAGCUGCUCUGAGUCUGGGAAGAGUUUCAGGGGAUCUCCACUCUGCUGAAACACCAAUGCACUCACAUCGGGGAGAGGCUGUUCAUCUGCUCCGAGUGUGGGAAGGGAUUCACUCGGUUAUCCAAUCUAUUGCGGCAUUGGCACGUUCACUGAGUCGAGAGACCUUUUAAAUGUCCAGACUGUGGGAAAUGCUUUAAAAGGUCUGAGAAACUGAUGUCCCAUCAACGUGUUCACACUGACGAGAGACCGUUCACGUGUUCUCACUGCGGGACGGGGUUCAGGCGAGCAGGUGACUUCACUGCACACCAGCGAGUUCACACUGGGGAGAGGCCAUUCACCUGCUUGGAGUGUGGGAAGGGAUUCACUCGUUUAUCUCAUCUCACUACACAUCACCUUGUUCACACAGAUAUGAGACCUUUUCAAUGAUCUGACUGUGAGAAGCACUUUAAAAGCAGAAAUGAUCUGAUGAAACAUCAGCAAAUUCACACUGGGGAGAGGCCAUUCACCUGCUCUGUGUGUGAGAAGAGAUUCACUCAUUCAUCCAACCUGCUGAAACAUCAGUGAAUUCACAAGUGAUUACAGGGGUUGGAUUCUGCUGUUGUUGCUGCUGUUAAUCACAUCCUGGACUAAACCAUGUCCAUUCUGACAGUUGGGGUUGACUCUAAUGUCAGUUGCCCAGUUUAGGCUUAGCAUGUACCCACACUGUCUCUCAAUCCUGUGUGAAUAAACCAUCAUAUCUGCAAACCUCGUUUUCAAUGUAAAUCACUCAGAAACUUUCUUGAACUAAAGAUGAACAAAAAACAGAUCACAGUGCAAUCCUGCAGCUCUAUAUUGACUGACUGGAGAAAGUCUGUUCUGUAACUCGAGGAUGAAGCUUGGUAAGCUCUGAAUGUUUGUAAUUACAAGUAGGCUCAAGCUAUUUGAGAGACGGGCUGAUCAAAGCUGUUAACUUGUCAGAUAUUGAAGGAAUUAUUCUGAAAAUAAACUCACCAACUGAUAACCUCAGACCCUGCUCCCUGCUGUAGUUAAUACUCAGCAUCCAUUUGUGCCGAUUUGCAGUGAAUCACUGAAUAUCCUGUGGAACCUUUGUUCCUUGUUUUGUGAAAUAGCUCUCCCCAUUAGUGCUGAACUGCUGGAUAACUCUGAUUACAUUUAGACACGUUUAGAAAGGAUCUGUGUGUCCACAUUUCAUUGUGAUUUGAAAACAAUAAACAAUGUUCAUGCCUGA